GUGGGGAAUAUUGGACAAUGGGCGAAAGCCUGAUCCAGCCAUGCCGCGUGUGUGAAGAAGGUCUUCGGAUUGUAAAGCACUUUAAGUUGGGAGGAAGGGCAGUAAGUUAAUACCUUGCUGUUUUGACGUUACCGACAGAAUAAGCACCGGCUAACUUCGUGCCAGCAGCCGCGGUAAUACGAAGGGUGCAAGCGUUAAUCGGAAUUACUGGGCGUAAAGCGCGCGUAGGUGGGUUUGUAAGUUGGAGGUGAAAUCCCCGGGCUCAACCUGGGAACUGCCUCCAAAACUGCAUGACUAGAGUACGGUAGAAGGUAGUGGAAUUUCCUGUGUAGCGGUGAAAUGCGUAGAUAUAGGAAGGAACACCAGUGGCGAAGGCGACUACCUGGACUGAUACUGACACUGAGGUGCGAAAGCGUGGGGAGCAAACAGGAUUAGAAACCCGGGUAGUCC
RNAcentral lists this ribosomal RNA (450 nucleotides) under uncultured bacterium. Its description in RNAcentral is "bacterial SSU rRNA". It matches the Rfam family "Bacterial small subunit ribosomal RNA", at positions 354 to 796 of the family's 1533-position model. The record is from RNAcentral.